Molecule: ribosomal RNA, 756 nt
Filed under: uncultured Actinomycetes bacterium
Lineage: Bacteria; Bacillati; Actinomycetota; Actinomycetes
Description: bacterial SSU rRNA
Rfam family: Bacterial small subunit ribosomal RNA
Source: RNAcentral
AACGGAAAGGCCCUGCUUGCAUGGUACUCGAGUGGCGAACGGGUGAGUAACACGUGGGUGAUCUGCCCUGCACUUCGGGAUAAGCCUGGGAAACUGGGUCUAAUACCGGAUAGGAGCCAUUUUUAGUGUGAUGGUUGGAAAGUUUUUUCGGUGUAGGAUGAGCUCGCGGCCUAUCAGCUUGUUGGUGGGGUAAUGGCCUACCAAGGCGGCGACGGGUAGCCGGCCUGAGAGGGUGGACGGCCACAUUGGGACUGAGAUACGGCCCAGACUCCUACGGGAGGCAGCAGUGGGGAAUAUUGCACAAUGGGCGCAAGCCUGAUGCAGCGACGCCGCGUGGGGGAUGACGGCCUUCGGGUUGUAAACUCCUUUCGCUAGGGACGAAGCUUUUGUGACGGUACCUAGAUAAGAAGCACCGGCUAACUACGUGCCAGCAGCCGCGGUAAUACGUAGGGUGCGAGCGUUGUCCGGAAUUACUGGGCGUAAAGGGCUCGUAGGUGGUUUGUCGCGUCGUCUGUGAAAUUCCGGGGCUUAACUCCGGGCGUGCAGGCGAUACGGGCAUAACUUGAGUACUGUAGGGGUAACUGGAAUUCCUGGUGUAGCGGUGAAAUGCGCAGAUAUCAGGAGGAACACCGAUGGCGAAGGCAGGUUACUGGGCAGUUACUGACGCUGAGGAGCGAAAGCAUGGGUAGCGAACAGGAUUAGAUACCCUGGUAGUCCAUGCCGUAAACGGUGGGCGCUAGGUGUGAGGGUCUUUUC